RNAcentral lists this long non-coding RNA (853 nucleotides) under Homo sapiens (human). Its description in RNAcentral is "HSALNT0237205". The record is from RNAcentral. Lineage: Eukaryota; Metazoa; Chordata; Mammalia; Primates; Hominidae.
GGACCCAGGCUCCUUCCAUUUGUGGCUCUGCUCUCUCCUAUGGCCUUGUCAUUUACUGUCUACACUGAUCUGGCAAAACAGAAAAGUCGGGUUGGAAGGGAAAAUGUUUGGAGGAGCAUAUGCAGGUCUUUUUGCCAAGCCUACAAGUGCAGCUAGUUCCAGAAUCCCGGUCCAACAAGGAGAUUGCCUCUGUCCAAGAAAAUAUCUUGAUAAGCUGCUCAGGGCAGAAGGGAAUGGCAAGGAACCUGAGGAACCAGCGUGAGGAAAACCUGGAUGAUCUGACGUCUUCCUCACUUUAUCCCUACCUGUCCACGCCUCCAUCCAUCCACCCAUCCAUCACUGAUCAAGCUCUCACUAUGUCUAUAGUGUAGAAGGUGCCACCAAAUGCAAUGGAACCUCUUGUCUCAUGUGUCUACUUGCAUCUUUAAGUUGAUACACGGAAGGCACAGUCCAAGCACAGGAUACUGGAAGCUAUGGAGGUACAGUGGCCUCUGAGCAAACUGAAAACUCUCUAUCACUAAAGGGUUGGGCAUACAGGGUAUCUCCUCUGCUCUGCCACCUACCUUGAGGAUGCUUUACAUGUGGCUAAAAGUGGAGGCAGAGAUAUUUGGAUAAAUAAAUGCUAGAGAAUUGGAAAUUCCUAGGACAAGUCAAUUUGGAUAUGUCUAUGUCAUCCUUUUUUUUCUAAGAGACACGUAACUCUGAUCCUUAAGGAGUUAGAGAGUUCCCAUAGCUUAGGGUCUGGAAGCCAUAUUCCUUUUUAUGUAACAUCCUUGAAUAUGCUACUCGUAUACCCUAAAUUUACUCUGUAAUUUUUUUUUUUUUAUUUGAGAGGGAGUCUCACUCUGCUGCC